Non-coding RNA from Capra hircus (goat), 73 nucleotides. NCBI's taxonomy places the organism in Eukaryota, Metazoa, Chordata, Mammalia, Artiodactyla, Bovidae. The record is from the annotation of a RefSeq genome assembly.
UCCCUGGUGGUCCAGUGGCUAAAACUCCUCCCUCCAAAGGCAGGGGUCCCAGGUUCGAUCCCUGGUCAGGGAA